GUUUUGUUGAAGGUUUAGUUUUUUGGUUAAUCAUUGUCAAGCUUAAAAACCGAAGCCAGACUGCAACAUUUUAGAAACCUAGCUAGCACUGUGGCAUGUCUGUACACUAGUAGUUAAAAGGCUAUCAGUUCCACUGUAACACUGCCAUAAAUAUUACAACCAAAAUAACUUCCUAAUUUGUUGGAUAUUAUGUAGCACUUUAUUCAAGAACAUUUAGUUCUGUACACAGACAGGACAUUCUGCACUUUAAGGCUGGUCUAGCAGAAGGCAGCAGAGCUUUAUGCUCUGUAAAGACUGAUGGCAACAGAAUCAAAAUGCAUUAUUAAAAUGAUAAGACAUGCUUCUAUAUUGCUCUUUGUGAUUUGAUAAGUGUUUCAUGUAAAAAUGGUAGAUAGUCUCGAGGACAAAUGUUCCUUUCAGAAUGGACAAUGAAGUGGUAUUCAUUUCUAUGGGGAUAUCGCGGUUCUAAAAUAAUGACACAUGCAUUCAAAAACAAGAAAUCCCUUAAAAACCCAAGACAUAACAUGUACUGAAACAUUUGGCUAAAGGAGAGGUAGUGGAUAAUUAAAUGUACAAAUGUGAACAGAGCAGAAGCAACUUUGGAUUUAAACUAUGGAACAGAACGCUAUGGGGUUGGUUUCCCAGACACCAAUUUAAGCGUAGUUCUGGACUAAAGCACCUUUUCUAGAAUUUCCAUUAUACAUUGAACGUGCUUUUAAGUCUCGGACUAGGCAUAAUCUGUGUCCAGAAAACUGUCCCUAUAAGUCUGGAUAUGAGUGAACUAAAGCCUUACAUGCUGACCACACCGAUCGCGUUUAUAUCCCAGGACAAAUUAGCUAGCAAUAGCAAGCUAGCUAACUAAAUUGACAUAAAUGUUUAAUGCUUUUCGACCUAUCCCCAAAUUAAUAUAGUUGGUUCAGAGUUCGUUUUGAUAUUUCAACCUGCGUGUCCUGAUUGCGUCUGGUGUGGGUGGACAAAAUCAACAUGCGCGCGAUGGCGCACGCACGGUCUGGUCAGCAUGUUAGAGUGCCUCCACUUUAAUGAUGUUGAGCUGGGUUUCCUGUGGGGAGACUGUGAUGUCUGAGUCCAGGUAAUCAGAGGCCUGGGUGGGGGCCAUGCAGUCCUGGAGAGCUCCCUCUGUGCUGGUGCUGGGAUAGUCUGUACUGUCUGUUCCUCUAUAGGACUGUGUGUGUGACUGCGUGUAUGUGGUGGCGUAAGACUGUGUGCAUGAGGGCAUGUGUGUUUGAGUGUGUGGCUGCUGUGUGUAGGCUGACGAGUGAGGCUGUGUGUGCGCCAGCGUGUAUGUAGGGGUGUGUGUGAGCGGGAGGCUAUCGGUGGUACUACUGCUGCUGCCCGUCUGGAAGCCGUUGAUGCCAUGGGGGCUCUGUCCGGACAGUUUGAAGGUCUCUAUGGUCUCCAGACUGGAGCUGUCCAUCCCAUUGUAGCUGGGCUGGGCCUGGCUGCACUGAGCAUACCCUCCUUGGCUGAAGGGGAAUGUGUCCUGGCUGUAGGAGGCAGAGCCUGAGGCAGGUAAGACCGGGGGUGGGGGAGUUUUGGGAUGCUGUCGCUGGUGGAGGCUGGUACAGGGUGCCUCCAGUCUUGAGGCCAGGGUCUGCAGGGUGCUGAGAAUCUGCCUCUGGACCUGGGUCUGCUGGACCUGCUCCCUCUCCAGCCGGUACUGCUGCUCCACCAGCAUGCGCACCGCCAGGCUCAGGCUGUGGAUCUCAGAGCCCAGGGUCUGGACCUGCUCCUGGAGACCCCCACCACCACCCCCUCCCCUCCCUCCGGCCUCCUGAUGAGCUGCCUGCUGAGGGCUGGGGUUCCUGUCUCUCCUGAGAAGGCCCUGGUUCAUUCCCUGGCUCCCAGGGCUUUGGAGGCGGAUGACAGGGCUACUACCCUGGGAGGUGGGUGGUGGUGGUGGGGAGUUGGGGAGCCGGAUGCCCACACGGGGAGGAGCAGGGUGUGGGGAGCGGACAGCUUGGCCACCGACUCUCUGCUGGAACAUCUGUCUGGGAACACUGGCUCCUUGCUGGCCAUCCAAAUUCCUCUGCAGAGUACAAGUCCAUUGUAACAUGGGUCAGUUGUAACAGGCUAAAUAUAUCAAAUUAAAACCUACUUAGAAAGCUGUUCCAUGUGCCAAUGAUUGGUUAGUCUUUACAUGACUAUGAAGUUUAAUUUAAAAACAAAUUUAUCCAUCAAUUAUCUUUGGUUUCAUUGACAGCUUUGUUUUGAGGCCAUGUUUGUUGUUGUAACUCAUUGUUACAACUUACCCCUUUACCUAAAAUUAUAUAGCAUUUAGACACAUGAACAUAUUUAUAUCAAAUGUCACUUCUUUACAUCAACUUUGGCAAUGCAACUAUGAUAAAACCUUUGAAAAAAAUGUAAAAGUCACAUUUUUCUUUUUGAACGCUAAUACUAAAUAUAGUUUUUCAGCUAUUCAGUUUCUGGUCAAUAUGACAAGCCUAACUCGUUUUCUUUGUCAAUUCUGUGUAUUUACAUCCAAAACGGUUUUUAAAUCAUACCAUUGUUGAAUUACCCCUAAUGUUUUACCAUUAAAGACAGUGUUACAACUGUCCCUGCUAUUGGGGUAACUUUCGGACCUUGGGUCUAAGCCAGAAUUGUGAAAAGUAUACAUGUAACUGUAGCCUACCUUUAGUUAGCAG
RNAcentral lists this long non-coding RNA (2663 nucleotides) under Salmo salar (Atlantic salmon). RNAcentral's name for it is "lncRNA (ENSSSAG00000098034.1)". The record is from RNAcentral. Lineage: Eukaryota; Metazoa; Chordata; Actinopteri; Salmoniformes; Salmonidae.